AGAACGAACGCUGGCGGCAUGCCUAAUACGUGCAAGUCGAACGAACACUUCGGUGUUAGUGGCGCACGGGUGCGUAACGCGUGGGAAUCUGCCCUUGGGUUCGGAAUAACAGUUGGAAACGACUGCUAAUACCGGAUGAUGACGAAAGUCCAAAGAUUUAUCGCCCAGGGAUGAGCCCGCGUAGGAUUAGCUAGUUGGUGAGGUAAAGGCUCACCAAGGCGACGAUCCUUAGCUGGUCUGAGAGGAUGAUCAGCCACACUGGGACUGAGGCACGGCCCAGACUCCUACGGGAGCAGCAGUAGGGAAUAUUGGACAAUGGGCGCUAAGGCCUAGAUCCGAGCAAGUGACCGCGUGAGUGAUGAAGGUCUUAGGGUUGUAAAGCUCUUUUACCCGAGUACUGAUAGUGACUAGUAGUACGGGAGUAACUAAGGCCCCGGUACGUAACCGUCCGU
Molecule: ribosomal RNA, 452 nt
Filed under: uncultured soil bacterium
Lineage: Bacteria
Description: bacterial SSU rRNA
Rfam family: Bacterial small subunit ribosomal RNA
Source: RNAcentral